AGGGCACCACCAGGAGUGGAGCCUGCGGCUUAAUUUGACUCAACACGGGGAAACUCACCCGGCCCGGACACCGGAAGGAUUGACAGAUUGAUAGCUCUUUCUUGAUUCGGUGGAUGGUGGUGCAUGGCCGUUCUUAGUUGGUGGAGCGAUCUGUCUGGUUAAUUCCGAUAACGAACGAGACUCUAGCCUAUUAAAUAGACGUCGGGUUCUCUGCACUCGACGGUCUUCUUAGAGGGACAAGGUGCUUUUAGCACCGCGAAACAGAGCAAUAACAGGUCUGUGAUGCCCUUAGAUGUCCGGGGCCGCACGCGCGCUACACUGAAGGAAGCAGCGUGUAACAACCUUGUUCUAACGAACUGGGUAACCCGUGGAACUUCCUUCAUGAUUGGGAUAGGGGUUUGCAAUUGUGCCCCUUGAACGGGGAAUUCCCAGUAAACACUAGUCAUCAGCUAGUGCUGAUUACGUCCCUGCCCUUUGUACACACCGCCCGUCGCUACUACCGAUUGAAUGGUUUAGUGA
This 519-nucleotide ribosomal RNA is filed under the name uncultured eukaryote. RNAcentral describes it as "SSU rRNA". It matches the Rfam family "Eukaryotic small subunit ribosomal RNA", at positions 1161 to 1704 of the family's 1831-position model. The record is from RNAcentral.